GAUGAACGCUGGCGGCGUGCCUAAUACAUGCAAGUCGAGCGAACAGACGAGGAGCUUGCUCCUCUGACGUUAGCGGCGGACGGGUGAGUAACACGUGGAUAACCUACCUAUAAGACUGGGAUAACUUCGGGAAACCGGAGCUAAUACCGGAUAAUAUAUUGAACCGCAUGGUUCAAUAGUGAAAGACGGUUUUGCUGUCACUUAUAGAUGGAUCCGCGCCGCAUUAGCUAGUUGGUAAGGUAACGGCUUACCAAGGCAACGAUGCGUAGCCGACCUGAGAGGGUGAUCGGCCACACUGGAACUGAGACACGGUCCAGACUCCUACGGGAGGCAGCAGUAGGGAAUCUUCCGCAAUGGGCGAAAGCUUGACGGAGCCACGCCGCGUGAGUGAUGAAGGUCUUCGGAUCGUAAAACUCUGUUAUUAGGGAAGAACAAAUGUGUAAGUAACUAUGCACGUCUUGACGGUACCUAAUCAGAAAGCCACGGCUAACUACGUG
RNAcentral lists this ribosomal RNA (497 nucleotides) under uncultured bacterium. RNAcentral describes it as "partial 16S ribosomal RNA". It matches the Rfam family "Bacterial small subunit ribosomal RNA", at positions 28 to 507 of the family's 1533-position model. The record is from RNAcentral.